This 200-nucleotide ribosomal RNA is filed under the name uncultured bacterium. RNAcentral describes it as "partial 16S ribosomal RNA". It matches the Rfam family "Bacterial small subunit ribosomal RNA", at positions 28 to 228 of the family's 1533-position model. The record is from RNAcentral.
GAUGAACGCUAGCGGCAGGCUUAAUACAUGCAAGUCGAGGGGCAGCACGGUAGCAAUACUGGUGGCGACCGGCGCACGGGUGCGUAACACGUAUACAAUCUGCCUUUAACAGGGGGAUAGCCUUUCGAAAGAGAGAUUAAUACCCCAUAAUACGGGAUUCGGCAUCGAAUUCUGUUGAAAGCUCCGGCGGUUAAAGAUGA